This 365-nucleotide ribosomal RNA is filed under the name Meyerozyma guilliermondii. Its description in RNAcentral is "eukaryotic LSU rRNA". It matches the Rfam family "Eukaryotic large subunit ribosomal RNA", at positions 73 to 440 of the family's 3401-position model. Lineage: Eukaryota; Fungi; Ascomycota; Pichiomycetes; Serinales; Debaryomycetaceae. The record is from RNAcentral.
AGCCUUAGUAGCGGCGAGUGAGCGGCAAAAGCUCAAUUUGAAUCUGGCGCCUUCGGUGUCCUGAGUUGUAAUUUGAAGAUUGUAACCUUGGGGUUGGCUCUUGUCUAUGUUUCUUGGAACAGGACGUCACAGAGGGUGAGAAUCCCGUGCGAUGAGAUGCCCAAUUCUAUGUAAGGUGCUUUCGAAGAGUCGAGUUGUUUGGGAAUGCAGCUCUAAGUGGGUGGUAAAUUCCAUCUAAAGCUAAAUAUUGGCGAGAGACCGAUAGCGAACAAGUACAGUGAUGGAAAGAUGAAAAGAACUUUGAAAAGAGAGUGAAAAAGUACGUGAAAUUGUUGAAAGGGAAGGGUUUGAGAUCAGACUCGAUA